UACGUAGGUGGCAAGCGUUGUCCGGAUUUACUGGGCGUAAAGGGAGCGUAGGCGGAUUUUUAAGUGGGAUGUGAAAUACUCGGGCUCAACCUGAGUGCUGCAUUCCAAACUGGAGAUCUAGAGUGCAGGAGGGGAGAGUGGAAUUCCUAGUGUAGCGGUGAAAUGCGUAGAGAUUAGGAAGAACACCAGUGGCGAAGGCGACUCUCUGGACUGUAACUGACGCUGAGGCUCGAAAGCGUGGGGAG
RNAcentral lists this ribosomal RNA (245 nucleotides) under uncultured bacterium. Its description in RNAcentral is "partial 16S ribosomal RNA". It matches the Rfam family "Bacterial small subunit ribosomal RNA", at positions 524 to 768 of the family's 1533-position model. The record is from RNAcentral.